UUAAGGGAGACCGAACCUGCCUUAUUGAUUCGACUAUUAAUAGUCGAGGUAAUAUCGAUGAGAUGGUCAACCGAAGGUCGUUGGGGAUUGGAGAAAAGGCUUUCAAACUAUAAUUUCGGUUUUUUGAGGAAAUGAUUUAGCACCUAAACUAGGAACAAAUAGUUAAUAGUUUAGAAUGCUGAAAUUGAUUUCAGCCAGAACCAUGAAAACUGCAUAGUGACGUAAAUGUAAUGUAGGUAGCAAUUCUUGGACUACUGAGCAAUUUGUUGGUUGGUAACAACUGGGAGAUUGUGAGGAAGAACAAGAUUGAUGACGUACAUUCACAGACAAAAAAUUGAUUUGAUUAGAAUU
Molecule: unclassified non-coding RNA, 351 nt
Filed under: Macrochaete psychrophila NU16B/09
Lineage: Bacteria; Bacillati; Cyanobacteriota; Cyanophyceae; Nostocales; Calotrichaceae
Description: 16S-23S ribosomal RNA intergenic spacer
Source: RNAcentral